UCUGUCCCAGUUGAUUAGAGGGAGAAGAGAGCCCAGAGCUCUCCUCCAUUUGUCGUCAACUCACCAGACCUGAGACUACUCCUGGGGCUGGCUGAAGUCAUGAAGCCUUUCCUGCUGACUCUGGCGGUGCUGCUGCUCUUGUCCCAGGUCAUUCCAGGCAGCGCUGAAAAAUGCUGGAAUCUUCAUGGCACCUGCCGUGGGAAAUGCGGCAAAAACGAAAAGUUCUUUCUUUUCUGCAAGAGCGGUAAACUGUGCUGCCUGAAGCUCAACUUCCAGCCGAAUUUACCACUGAAGUCACUUAGUGCUUGAAGUUCGAGGGCACGAAAAAGAAGAUAACCUUGCCCUGAGUCUGGCCUCAGUAGAUUCCUGAGCUUUAUUAAAACUCCAUUGGCUGA
Molecule: long non-coding RNA, 395 nt
Organism: Equus caballus (horse)
Lineage: Eukaryota; Metazoa; Chordata; Mammalia; Perissodactyla; Equidae
Source: RefSeq, a predicted model, not a curated record